RNAcentral lists this ribosomal RNA (321 nucleotides) under Triticum aestivum (bread wheat). RNAcentral describes it as "partial small subunit ribosomal RNA". The record is from RNAcentral. Lineage: Eukaryota; Viridiplantae; Streptophyta; Magnoliopsida; Poales; Poaceae.
AUGGUAGCACAUGAUUUUAUUGUUAAGAAUAAGAAGAAGAUGCUUAACUAUAGACUGAUAUUUGAUAAAAGUUACUUUGAGACUAUUACCUUGCCUGCUCCCUCUUUGUUCAACAUAUUUUCAAGCACGUACCUUGUUUUGCCGGAGGCCGUUCAUGCAUACCGGAGCCUGACAUCAGCUCCAGAGCCUGAGCCGGAGCCACCACUUGAUCCUCACUGUCAGUCUGUUUAUCAGUGGGAUCCGGAGGAGAUCGCUAACCAGUGGCACCCUGAGGAUCCUCCUCAGUACACCGGAGAGGGCAGCUUUGAUCCGUGGGCAUAG